GGACGAACGCUGGCGGCGUGCUUAAUACAUGCAAGUCGAGCGAGGUUAUUUUACUGCGUUUCUUCGGAAGCAAAGUUUCUUAACCUAGCGGCGGAUGGGUGAGUAACGCGUGGGUAACCUACCCUAAAGUUCGGGAUAACAGUUGGAAACGAUUGCUAAUACCGAAUAUUCUCUUUUUGUGGCAUCACAUUAAGAGGAAAGGUUACGCUUUAGGAUGGACCCGCGUCCCAUUAGCUAGUUGGUAAGGUAAUGGCUUACCAAGGCGACGAUGGGUAGCCGGCCUGAGAGGGUGUACGGCCACACUGGGACUGAGACACGGCCCAGACUCCUACGGGAGGCAGCAGUAGGGAAUAUUGCGCAAUGGAGGGAACUCUGACGCAGCGACGCCGCGUGAGCGAUGAAGGUCUUCGGAUCGUAAAGCUCUGUCCUUGGGGAAGAAGGGUGCAUUAUAGCAUCUUGACGGUACCCGAGGAGGAAGCCCCGGCUAACUACGUGCCAGCAGCCGCGGUAAUACGUAGGGGGCAAGCGUUGUCCGGAAUUAUUGGGCGUAAAGGGUGCGUAGGCGGCCUUUUAAGUCAGGUGUGAAAGCCCACGGCUUAACCGUGGGAUUGCAUUUGAAACUGGAAGGCUUGAGUAUCGGAGAGGGUAGUGGAAUUCCCAGUGUAGCGGUGAAAUGCGUAGAUAUUGGGAGGAACACCAGUGGCGAAGGCGACUACCUGGACGAAAACUGACGCUGAUGCACGAAAGCUAGGGGAGCAAACAGGAUUAGAUACCCUGGUAGUCCUAGCUGUAAACGAUGGGUACUAGGUGUAGGAGGUUUCGAUACCUUCUGUGCCGGAGUUAACGCAUUAAGUACCCCGCCUGGGGAGUACGUGCGCAAGAAUG
Molecule: ribosomal RNA, 885 nt
Filed under: uncultured Clostridia bacterium
Lineage: Bacteria; Bacillati; Bacillota; Clostridia
Description: bacterial SSU rRNA
Rfam family: Bacterial small subunit ribosomal RNA
Source: RNAcentral